Molecule: ribosomal RNA, 811 nt
Filed under: uncultured Funneliformis
Lineage: Eukaryota; Fungi; Glomeromycota; Glomeromycetes; Glomerales; Glomeraceae
Description: SSU rRNA
Rfam family: Eukaryotic small subunit ribosomal RNA
Source: RNAcentral
AUCAACUUUCGAUGGUAGGAUAGAGGCCUACCAUGGUGGUAACGGGUAACGGGGUGUUAGGGCACGACACCGGAGAGGGAGCCUGAGAAACGGCUACCACAUCCAAGGAAGGCAGCAGGCGCGCAAAUUACCCAAUCCCGACACGGGGAGGUAGUGACAAUAAAUAACAAUACAGGGUUCUUUUGGAUCUUGUAAUUGGAAUGAGUACAAUUUAAAUCUCUUAACGAGGAACAAUUGGAGGGCAAGUCUGGUGCCAGCAGCCGCGGUAAUUCCAGCUCCAAUAGCGUAUAUUAAAGUUGUUGCAGUUAAAAAGCUCGUAGUUGAAUUUCGGGAUCAAUAUUUCGGUCAUGCCGUUGGUAUGCACUGUUAUCAUUGAUUUCUCACCUUCUAAAGAACCGUAAUGCCAUUAAUUUGGUGUUACGGGGAAUUAGGACUGUUACCUUGAAAAAAUUAGAGUGUUUAAAGCAGGCUCACGCUUGAAUACAUUAGCAUGGAAUAAUGAAAUAGGACAUCCGAUUUCUAUUUUGUUGGUUUCUAGGAUCGAUGUAAUGAUUAAUAGGGAUAGUUUGGGGGCAUUAGUAUUCAAUUUGUCAGAGGUGAAAUUCUUUGGAUUUUAUUGAAGACUAACUUACUUGCGUAAAUGCAUUUGCCAAUGAUGUUUUCAUUAAUCAAGAACGAAAGUUAGGGGAUCGAAGACUAUCAGAUACCGUCGUAGUCUUAACCAUAAACUAUGCCUACUAGGAUCGGAUUGAUGUUAAUUUUUUAAUGACUCAUUCCCGGCGCCUUACGGGAAACCAAAGUGUUUGGGUUC